AGAGUUUGAUCAGUGGCUCAGGACGAACGCUGGCGGCGUGCUUAACACAUGCAAGUCGAACGGUGACCCAGGGCUUGCCCUGGUGAUCAGUGGCGAACGGGUGAGUAACACGUGGGCAACCUGCCCCUGACUUCGGGAUAACUCCUCGAAAGAGGAGCUAAUACCGGAUACGACCACUUCGGACAUCCCGAUGGUGGUGGAAAGUUUUUCGGUCAGGGAUGGGCCCGCGGCCUAUCAGCUAGUUGGUGGGGUAAUGGCCUACCAAGGCGACGACGGGUAGCCGGCCUGAGAGGGCGACCGGCCACACUGGGACUGAGACACGGCCCAGACUCCUACGGGAGGCAGCAGUGGGGAAUAUUGCGCAAUGGGCGAAAGCCUGACGCAGCGACGCCGCGUGAGGGAUGAAGGCCUUCGGGUUGUAAACCUCUUUCAGCAGGGACGAAGCGAAAGUGACGGUACCUGCAGAAGAAGCACCGGCUAACUACGUG
Molecule: ribosomal RNA, 488 nt
Filed under: uncultured bacterium
Lineage: Bacteria
Description: bacterial SSU rRNA
Rfam family: Bacterial small subunit ribosomal RNA
Source: RNAcentral